Cryptomeria japonica (Japanese cedar) is the source of this 3448-nucleotide long non-coding RNA. RefSeq lists it as uncharacterized. Lineage: Eukaryota; Viridiplantae; Streptophyta; Pinopsida; Cupressales; Cupressaceae. The record is from RefSeq and is a predicted model, not a curated record. The transcript has 6 exons.
CUUCAUUUGCUUCUUUGUCUUCUCUCUUCGUCCACAUUGGUUUAACUCGAUUAUCUUCAGCGUCAACAGUGGGUUGUUGCAUUUCCUUUGGAAUUUCACAGGUAGUAGGUCUGGUACUUUCUUCCUCUGGAACUUGAGAGAAUUUUGAUGGAAAUUCUUGUGGAAUGAUAGGCUUGUGAUCUCCAGAUAUAAUUUUAGGCAAGGAUUCUUCCUUAGCUUUUUCAUCUGCCAAAUUAACUGGAUUAUCUCCUUGGCCUUUUCUCAUCUCUGGCAAGAUCUGGAUAUCUGUAGGACAAUCAAUCUUUUCGGCUUCAGCAGAAGGUGUUGACUCUUCAAUGAUAGUGGGACCUUGCUUUACUGGUUCUUUAGUUGUAUCUUCUGGUUGCUCAAGUUGGUAUUGAAAUUGAACGUUGGGCUCACAAGAUGGUUCUAUCAUCUGUGGAAUACGAGGCACUUGGAGUGGAGGAAUGCCUGCAAUAAGUUCUUCAGAUCGACCAGAGCUAUAUUCAUCUUGUUGUGAAAUUUCAGCUGCUCCCUAUAGCAAUCAUGUAUAUAUAUUAUUAUCGACAUUUCAAAUCCUGAUUUAAUGAGAAAUGAACUUAACAGUGCAAGCUAAGAAAGUGAAUUCUCUUAAGACCAACAACUGCUUUAGUGGAUUUGAAUUUGAAGCAACACUUACAGUCUUGGGAGCAGGAAAAGGUAGUAUGUCUGGCACUUUCUUUCUCUGGAACUUGAGAGAAAUUUAAUGGAAAUUCUUGUGGAAUGAUAGGCUCGUGAACUUCAGAUAUAGUUUUAGGCAAGGCUUCUUCCUUAGGUUUUUCAUCUGCCAAUUUAACUGGCUUAUCUUCCUGGCCUUUUAUCAUCUCUGGAAAGCUCUGGAUAUCCAUAGGAACAUCAAUCUUUUCAGCUUCAGCAGAAGAUGGUGACUCUUCAAUGAUAGUGGGACCUUGCUUUACUGGUUCUUUACUUGUAUCUUCUGGUUGCUCAACUUGGUAUUGAAAUUGAACUUUGGGCUCACUGGAUGGUUCUAUCAUCUCUGGAAUACCAGGCACUUGGACCAGAGGGAUGCGUGCCAGAAGUUCUUCAGAUUGACUAGAGAUUAUUAUCGACAUUUCAAAUCUUGAUUUUAUGAGAAGUGAAUGUAACAAUGCAAGCUAGGAAAGUGAGUUCUCUUAAGACCAACAGCUGCUUUAUUGGAUUUGAAUUUGAAGCAACACUUACACCCUUGGGAGCAGAAGAAGGUGGCUCCUCAUGCUUCUUUUCUUGUACAUAUUUUGGUGGUUGCAGCUCCUCUUCAUUUGCUUCUUUGUCUGCCAUCUCCUUCCACUUUGGUUUAGCUAGCUUAUCUUCAGCAUCAACAGUGGGUUGUUGUACUUCCUUUGGAAUUUCACAAAUUGUAGGUCUGGCACUUUCUCUCUGUGGAACUUGAGAGAAUCUUGACGGAAAUUCUUGUGGAAUGAUUGGUUUGUGAACUCCAGAUAUAGUUCUAGGCAAGGCUUCUUCCUUAGGUUUUUCAUCUGCCAAUAUAAUUGGCUUAUCUUCCUGGCCUUUUCUCAUCUCUGGCAAGCUCUGGAUAUCCGUCGGAACAUUAAUCUUUUCAGCUUCAGCAGAAGGUGUUGACUCUCCAAUGAUAGGAGGACCUUGCUUUACUGGUUCUUUGGUUGUAUCUUCUGGUUGCUCGACUUGGUAUUGAAAUUGAACUUUGGACUCACUGGAUGGUUCUUUCAUCUCUGGAAUACCAGGCUCUUGGAGUGGAGGAGUGUCUGCCAGAAGUUCUUCAGAUUGACCAGAGGUAUCUUCAUCUUCUUUUGGAAUUUCAGCAGCUCCCUAAAGCAAUCAUUUAUACAAGUAAAUGAAAGAGACACCUAAAGCACACAAGUAAGAUUAUUUUCAGCAGUUCAUUUCCUGAUUUGAUGAAAAGUCAAUGCAACAUUGCUAGCUAAUGAUGAGGGGAGAAACAAGAAUACGAGUUGUGUAAGUUCUAUGGCUAAUGAAAUGGUUGGAAAUAUAUGACUGUGUUUCAUGCAGAUUAUUAACAACAGUUCAUUUCCUGAUUUGAUGAAAAGUCAAUGCAAUGGUGCAAGCUAAGGAUGAGGGUAGGAACGAGAAUAUGAUAAAUUGUGUAAGGUCUAUGGCUAAUGAAUGGUUGGAAAUAUGUGAUUUUGUUCAUGCAGAUUAUUGUCAAGUUAGUUUCCUGGUUUGAUGAUAAGUCAAUACAGCAGUGCAAGCUAAGGAUGAGGGGCCUCUUAGGACCAACGUCUGCUUUAGUGGAUUUGAAUUUUAAGCAUUACUUAAAUCCUUGGGAGCAGAAGAAUGUGGCUCCCCAUCCUUCUAUUCUUGGAUGGAUAUUGCUGGUUGCAUCUUCUCUUCAUUUGAUUCUCUUUCUUCCCCUUCCUUUUGUUCCCACUUUGAUUUGACUGGUUUAUCUUCAAUAUCAACAGUGGGUUGUUGCAUUUCCUUUGGAAGUAGUUGGUCUAGUACUUUCUUUUGCUGGAAUUUGAGAGGAUUUUGAUAGAAAUUCUUGUGGAAUGAUAGGUGUAUGAACUUUGGAGAUAGUUUUAGACAAGGGGACUUUCUCAGGUAUUUCUUUUGCUGAUUUGACUGUCUUAUCUUCCCGCCCCUCUCUUAACUUGAGCAAGCCCUGGAUAUCCUUUGGAACUUCCAUAAUUUCAGCUUCAGUUGGAGGUGUCAAUUCUUUGAUGGCAAUUGGAUCUUGCACUCUUUUUACUGGUGUUUUAAUUGUAUCCUCUGGUUGCUCAACUUGGUAUUGAAAUUGAACUUCAGGUUCACUGGAUGGUUCUGUCAUGUCUGGAAUACCAGGCACCUGGAGUAGAGGGAUUUCUGGAAAAAUUUCUUAAGAUUUAUCAGAGAUAUCUUCAUCCUGUUAUAGAAAUUAUGUGGCUUCCUAUAGCAAUCAUUUAUACAAGUAAAUGAAAAGCAACUGAAAUCAUACAAGUUAGAUGGAUAUCUGAAGCUAUAAUAUGUUUUUUGAAUUCCAUAGGGAAGGAAACAAAAUCUGUCUUAUAUCCAAUCGCUUGUACUGGGAUAUGUGGCAAGUGGGUUGAACAUAUGUUUUUAAAAUUUUCUACUGGAUCAGGUGCUUUUCAAUUUGUCCUACUCUGGCUAUAUUGAUAUCUUGAUAAGCACGUCAUGCUUUUUGUGAGAGGGCCUUGAACUCUUUGUGAAUUCUAUCUUGUUAAUUAGAAUAAAAUUCAAUACUCAAAUCUAAAGUUCUUUUUAUUUAUAGUGUAUGACCAUGUGUAACUUUCUAUAUGUUUGUUAGUUAUUAUAAUUUAUGACCAUAUGCUGAUGUAAAUUCAAACAGAAUCCAAGCCCACGAUGAUCAUAGGUGUUUACUUGAGAAGUGUUGGUAAUUGCCUAGGGACCUGAGGAGUACCUAUAACUGAAGUGACUAAACUACAAAGGCCCUGUUUAGUGAGUGAUGACA